This 245-nucleotide ribosomal RNA is filed under the name uncultured Eubacteriales bacterium. RNAcentral's name for it is "uncultured Clostridiales bacterium partial 16S ribosomal RNA". It matches the Rfam family "Bacterial small subunit ribosomal RNA", at positions 796 to 1041 of the family's 1533-position model. Lineage: Bacteria; Bacillati; Bacillota; Clostridia; Eubacteriales. The record is from RNAcentral.
CACGCUGUAAACGAUGAGUGCUAGGUGUCGGGUGUCAAAGCUCGGUGCCGCAGUAAACACAUUAAGCACUCCGCCUGGGGAGUACGUUCGCAAGAAUGAAACUCAAAGGAAUUGACGGGGACCCGCACAAGCAGCGGAGCAUGUGGUUUAAUUCGAAGCAACGCGAAGAACCUUACCAGGGCUUGACAUCCCUCUGACCGCUCUAGAGAUAGAGUUUUCUCUUCGGAGACAGAGGAGACAGGUGG